CCAGGCUGAACAGGGCGCGGUUGCCGCACGCCGAGUCCUCGUAGGUGAGCUGGAAGGCGUAGCCGGGCGGCAGACCCGCGCCGCUCUCCCGCAGGCUCCGCACCGCGUACUCGAUGGCCGGCCGCACCCGCCCCAGCGAGAAGAGGCUGUGAAUGGGAAACCUGCACUCCUGUGGUGACCAUCUGCUCACCUUUAAGAUGCCUCAAUUAAAAAAAAAGAAAGCUCAAAGCACUUGUGCAAUUACAACCAAGAAGUGGAAUGAAAACAGCAGAUAACAUGAUGUACAGAAAUAAUCAUCAACAUUUAUCUAACAAGGUUCGGAAAAAUAAAGAAGCUCAGAAAUUUAAAGAUGGGUAGUGUCUCAGAAAUAUGCCUCUCAUAGUUUUAUUUGAUUACUGAAUCAAACUUCAGAGUGUUCUUGAAGAUUACAUAAACAGCCACCCUGGU
Non-coding RNA from Lonchura striata (white-rumped munia), 447 nucleotides. The record is from RefSeq and is a predicted model, not a curated record. Lineage: Eukaryota; Metazoa; Chordata; Aves; Passeriformes; Estrildidae.